Capsicum annuum is the source of this 661-nucleotide long non-coding RNA. RefSeq lists it as uncharacterized. The transcript has 5 exons. The record is from RefSeq and is a predicted model, not a curated record. NCBI's taxonomy places the organism in Eukaryota, Viridiplantae, Streptophyta, Magnoliopsida, Solanales, Solanaceae.
GAUAUCAAGUAGAUGAUGUUCUUCUUGUGCUGUUCAUGGCAAAGGGCAGUAGUGUUUGCUUUAUUAUAUAACUGAGGAAAAUGCUGCUACGGCCUCGCCACUAUCACUUUGUCUCAUCCUCUUGACGUUGUCCAUACCAGGUUCCAAGUUUAUGAUGGAAGAAUCUCCAAUGUCCCUACUUAUAGGAAUACUCCUCACGCUUUAUUUUCCAUUGCUCUAAGUGAGUCAAACACAGUUGCAUAUGAUGAAGGCCGGGAUCUUGAGUUAAAGAAAGAACUGUUUCUUGGUGAUGCUCUUUCUGAUCUCCCUUCGAAAGGUGGUGUCGAUACCAAGUAGACGAUGUUCUUCUUGUGCUGUUCAUGGCAAAGGGCACUAGUGUUUGCUUUAUUAUAUAAUUGAGGAAAAUACCACUGCGGCCUCGCCACUGUCACUUUCUUUCAUCCUCUUGAUGUUGUCCGUACCAGGUUCCAAGUUUAUGAUGGAAGAAUCUCCAAUAUCCCCGCUUAUAGGAAUACUCCUCAUGCUUUAUUUGCCAUUGCUUGAAGUGAGGUUUGUUUUUUUGAAACUUGUCGAUUUCUGCAAAUAUUAUUAAAGGUUGUUCAAAAAAGAAGUUACUUUUCCAUUCAUAUAGGUGGUAGCUCUGGUGAAAGAAAACUCAUAU